RNAcentral lists this ribosomal RNA (402 nucleotides) under bacterium. RNAcentral's name for it is "partial 16S ribosomal RNA". It matches the Rfam family "Bacterial small subunit ribosomal RNA", at positions 355 to 776 of the family's 1533-position model. The record is from RNAcentral.
UGGGGAAUUUUGCACAAUGGGGGAAACCCUGAUGCAGCGACGCCGCGUGAUUUAGAAGGCCUUCGGGUUGUAAAAAUCUUUUCUAUGGGAAGAAAAUGACAGUACCAUAGGAAUAAGGACCGGCUAAUUACGUGCCAGCAGCCGCGGUAAUACGUAAGGUCCGAGCGUUGUCCGGAAUCAUUGGGCGUAAAGGGUACGUAGGCGGGUAAGCAAGUUAGAAGUGAAAUCCUAUAGCUCAACUAUAGUAAGCUUUUAAAACUGGCCAUCUUGAGGUAUGGAAGGGAAAGUGGAAUUCCUAGUGUAGCGGUGAAAUGCGCAGAUAUUAGGAGGAAUACCGGUGGCGAAGGCGACUUUCUGGCCAUAACCUGACGCUGAGGUACGAAAGCGUGGGUAGCAAACAGG